RNAcentral lists this long non-coding RNA (329 nucleotides) under Nicotiana benthamiana. RNAcentral describes it as "long non-coding RNA (NBEN_LNC028990)". Lineage: Eukaryota; Viridiplantae; Streptophyta; Magnoliopsida; Solanales; Solanaceae. The record is from RNAcentral.
AGAAUAAGAAAAAGAAGAAGAAGACUUGAGAAUUAAAUCAUCAGCAUAACAAGGUUUACUGGAAGAGGAAUUAUUUAAGGCCAUUUUAGGUACUGCAAUUGAGCUCCCAAAACACAAAAACAAGGCAUCUGAAUGGAAGUAACUGAAUUCUAUACUUAAACAAGUAUGGUAGCUGACACUGCUACUACUAUUCCAAGAAUCCAUGUUAUUAUUUGGAAAACAACAAGGCAGCUGAAUGGAAGCAACUGAAACCUAUACUUAAACAACUGACACUACUACUAUUCCAAGAGUUCCCAAGAUCCGUGUUAUUAUUUGAGGUACCCAAUUUC